Molecule: ribosomal RNA, 253 nt
Filed under: uncultured bacterium
Lineage: Bacteria
Description: partial 16S ribosomal RNA
Rfam family: Bacterial small subunit ribosomal RNA
Source: RNAcentral
UACGGAGGGGGCUAGCGUUGUUCGGAAUUACUGGGCGUAAAGCGCGCGUAGGCGGCUUUGUAAGUUAGAGGUGAAAGCCCGGAGCUCAACUCCGGAAUUGCCUUUAAGACUGCAUCGCUAGAAUCAUGGAGAGGUUAGUGGAAUUCCGAGUGUAGAGGUGAAAUUCGUAGAUAUUCGGAAGAACACCAGUGGCGAAGGCGACUAACUGGACAUGUAUUGACGCUGAGGUGCGAAAGCGAGGGGAGCAAACAGG